Non-coding RNA from Myotis brandtii (Brandt's bat), 75 nucleotides. The record is from Rfam. Lineage: Eukaryota; Metazoa; Chordata; Mammalia; Chiroptera; Vespertilionidae.
GGCAGUUCUCGGGUGAUGCAUCCCAGAAGUGAGCUCCCCCCUCUCUGGUUCUGGGUGCGUCACCUGAGAACUGCC